Molecule: long non-coding RNA, 575 nt
Organism: Rosa rugosa (rugosa rose)
Lineage: Eukaryota; Viridiplantae; Streptophyta; Magnoliopsida; Rosales; Rosaceae
Exons: 3
Source: RefSeq, a predicted model, not a curated record
CCUCUUCUCCGCCUCCCCCUCUCUCUGCUCCCCCUCACUCUCAUAUCCCAGCUCCUCUUCUCUGCCUCCCUCUCUCUCAUCUCCAAAUUGUUUUGGUUUAAUGGAGGACAGAGGAACUAGAUCUGUUUUCUCUCUCCUCCGACACCCACUUCCGGUCACCACCGUGACUCACCUCCACCAUCACAGACCUCACCGACCUCCGACGAGUUUAACGCAGCCUCCUUGACUUCCGGCAACAACCCGUGAAGGACCCUGCGCUUUUUCUCAAACCGACGUCGUCUUACUUGGAAAACGGAGGCAGUACUCCUGGGCUCGAUAUCGAAGUACUCCCUGAAUCAGAUGGAAUCUCAAUUGUCACCAACUUGAUGAGGAAAAAGAUUAUGAAAGCGAAGUUCAGACUUCCUCCACUCUCAGAUGCAACACCAGCACCUCAACACACCCGCUCAUUGUUUUUAGGAAGUUUCUUUUGCACAUGUGGUGAAGGAACUAAUGUCCAUAAAUAACUUCUAGGAUAUUGUAUUUCCUUUUCGAUUUGCAAUUAAGAAACUAUUUGUAUAUGAUGACUAUGAAUAUAA